UACGGAGGGUGCAAGCGUUAAUCGGAAUCACUGGGCGUAAAGCGCGCGUAGGUGGCUAUUUAAGUCAGAUGUGAAAGCCCUGGGCUCAACCUGGGAAUGGCAUUUGAUACUGGAUAGCUAGAGUGUAGUAGAGGGAGGUGGAAUUUCCGGUUUAGCGGUGAAAUGCGUAGAGAUCGGAAGGAACACCAGUGUCGAAGGCGGCCUCCUGGACUAACACUGACGCUGAGGUACGAAAGCGUGGGGAUCAAACAGG
Molecule: ribosomal RNA, 253 nt
Filed under: uncultured bacterium
Lineage: Bacteria
Description: partial 16S ribosomal RNA
Rfam family: Bacterial small subunit ribosomal RNA
Source: RNAcentral